CGUAGCCGAAGAUCUUGACGGGAUUCAGCGUCGGGUUAGUGAUGACCCGCACUGCGCCACCGCCCGGAGCCCAAGUGUCAUAAACACCACCAAAGAAGGUGGCUUUCAGCACUAGCAAGAAGGCACCACAACCUAGCAGGAUGAGGUGGUAACCAAUGAUGUUGGUCAUCUGGUUCUUAUCCUUCCA
This 187-nucleotide antisense RNA is filed under the name Leptolyngbya iicbica LK. RNAcentral describes it as "Leptolyngbya sp. LK Antisense RNA which regulates isiA expression". It matches the Rfam family "Antisense RNA which regulates isiA expression". The record is from Rfam by way of RNAcentral. Lineage: Bacteria; Bacillati; Cyanobacteriota; Cyanophyceae; Leptolyngbyales; Leptolyngbyaceae.